This is a non-coding RNA of Oryza meridionalis, 204 nucleotides long. Lineage: Eukaryota; Viridiplantae; Streptophyta; Magnoliopsida; Poales; Poaceae. The record is from Rfam.
GAAAAGGCAAACCUUGAAUUUCCGAAUACAACGUUUGACUGUCCGUCUUGUAUGAAUUUUUUUAUAAUUAGUAUUUUCAUUAUUGUUAGAUGAUAAAACAUGAUUAAUACUUUAUGCGUGAUUUGUCUUUUUAUUUUUUUCAUAUUUUUUUAAAUAAAACGAACGGUCAAACGUUAGACAAGAAAACCCAGGGUUUGCCUUUUU